AUUUUUUUGUUGUAUUUGUAGGCUUUUGAGGAAGCUGAGCUUCCCAGGCUGAAGGAGGAAAAACCUGGUCUCACUCACACACAAUACAAAGACAUGAUAUGGAAGCUGUGGAAGAAAUCGCCUGACAAUCCCCUCAAUCAGGUUGCUGAGUGAUGACAACUACAUAUUCUCUGUAAGAUAGCGGAUGGACUUUUCUUUUGAAUUGUUUUUAAGGAUUGAUCCCACUCUCAUGUGGCCAACUUUUAUGGCUUAACCAAAUGUGUGGCAUCUGUCCUACUGUAUGUGCUUUGUCCACUCAAUAAAAUUUGAAUUACAAUAA
This is a long non-coding RNA of Morus notabilis, 319 nucleotides long. RefSeq lists it as uncharacterized. The transcript has 2 exons. Lineage: Eukaryota; Viridiplantae; Streptophyta; Magnoliopsida; Rosales; Moraceae. The record is from RefSeq and is a predicted model, not a curated record.